Molecule: long non-coding RNA, 500 nt
Filed under: Cricetulus griseus (Chinese hamster)
Lineage: Eukaryota; Metazoa; Chordata; Mammalia; Rodentia; Cricetidae
Description: lncRNA (ENSCGRG00000026622.1)
Source: RNAcentral
CUCCUCCCAACUUCCCCCAUUUUUUCCAGUGCUAGGGAUUUACCCCAAUGCCUUGAGAAUGCAAGGCAAAUUGUCACCACUGAAGUACACCUUCCACCCCAUGACUCUUCUUGAAGUUUCUGAAACUCCACUUGAUGGACACAAGGGAACUUAUUUCAAAGUACAAUGCAGGAGAUUGAUGAUCACAUCUGAAAUGCCGAGAAGGAUCUGUGAGCUGUUUUCAAAACAGAAGGAGAGAGGCUAUGCUGACAAAGAAUCUAAAAAUCCCAUCUAUCUUGAGAAGAAUUUACUCAGCAAUGGAAAAGAGAACCUAUGUUCUCUGGGCUGAAUAUCAAAGAGGCCACAUAAGGAAUGAUCGGAGACCCUCAUAGGACUAAUCAGAAAAGAGAAAGAUUCAAUUAGUUUACAGUUGUAAAAGAGAAGGAAGCCAAAAUUUACAACACAGAUACUCAGAAUGUACAUAGUAGUUCUCAACUGGUGGCUCUGAACUCCACAAGGGU